RNA transcript from Oncorhynchus tshawytscha (Chinook salmon), 2576 nucleotides. It is a transcript of the gene named syntrophin, basic 1, with no coding region annotated. Lineage: Eukaryota; Metazoa; Chordata; Actinopteri; Salmoniformes; Salmonidae. The transcript has 7 exons. The record is from RefSeq and is a predicted model, not a curated record.
ACUUCAGCACAGCUCUCGGCAGUGUUCUGUGUGGAUAGAAAUGUGAUUUGCUUAGUGGGAUUGCCCUUCGAGUUUGCUCCACCCAAAGAGGAUAUGGGCUGUUGGAGCAGGGACUAGGUUAUGUUGCCAAAAAAAAGAGCCGUUAGCUGAAGUUGCUGAACUAUUGGAAAGCCAUGCUGAGAAGUUCGGGGGUAAAGUCCUAUUUGAGUUUUAAUCACAUGGCAUUUUAAGAAUGCUUCAAAGAUGGCGGUAGCUACAGUAAUUUCGAGGAACGGACUACAAAAAAGUGGAUUUUUGGAGGUUUUAGUGAGGGACCGAUGGCACAAUGUUUUGGCCAACUUGAACGAAGAAGCUCUAACGUUGAGUUGCGAGGACCUGGGAGAGAAUGUGACCCUAAACGGCCUCACCAAUGGAUCUUACGGGUGCAACGCAACUCACCCGGAUCACACAAACAGUUCGAAAACUGCGGUGAGGACAGCUUUCACGGAUUUACAGGAGCAAGUCCCAGAGGCGAUCGCAAACAGAAAAAGAUGCGUGAAAGUAAUAAAGCAAGAGGUAGGAGGACUCGGCAUCAGCAUAAAGGGAGGAAAAGAGAAUAAAAUGCCGAUACUUAUUAGUAAGAUCUUCAAAGGUCUAGCUGCGGAUCAAACCCAAGCCUUGUAUGUCGGUGACGCGAUUCUGUCGGUGAACGGUGUGAACCUGCGGGACGCAACGCAUGACGAGGCGGUGCAGGGGCUGAAACGAGCCGGGAGAGAGGUGACGCUAGAAGUGAAGUACAUGAGAGAAGCCAGCCCCUAUGUGAAGAAGGGUUCUCCUGUGUCAGAGAUAGGCUGGGAGACGCCCCCACCUGAGUCCCCGAGGCUGGGUAGCCCCCACUGUGACGUCCCCGUCACCCCCACCAUGUCCCUACAGGGGGACAGGAGGUACAUCCCCUUAAAGAUGUGUUACGUCACCAGGAGCAUGACUUCUCCAGACCCUGGAAACAGGCAGUUAGAGCUGCACUCUCCGGACGCCAAGCAUACGGUGGUGUUACGGUGUAGAGACACAGCCUCGGCCCAGGCCUGGUUCGAGGUCAUGCAGUCGGCGACCUCUAACCUCAUCGACAAGGUCAUCACGGAGGUCAAAGAGCACACAGGAAGAACAGGAAUCGCAGGGAGCAGAGAGAUCAGACACCUGGGCUGGCUGGCUGAGAAGACAGAGAGUGAGAAGCAGCAGUGGAAGCCAGUGCUGGUGAUGGUGACAGAGAAAGACCUGCUCCUCUAUCACAGCCUUCCACGCAUGAAGGCUUCCUGGCACAGCCCUGCACACACAUACCCACUGUUAGCUACACGGCUGGUGCACUCUGGUCCCGACCGAGGCUCUCCCCAGCCGGGCGUGGAGCUGUCCUUCGCCACACGUACGGGGACCAGACUGGGCAUCGAGGCCCACCUGUUCAGAGCUGAGACCUGUCAGGACCUUUCACUGUGGACCAGGCACAUCGUUACGGGCUGUCACUCCUCUGCCCAGAUGAUCAAAGAAGUCACUACCAGCUGUGUGUACAAGGGCCAGGAGUUACCCCAUUCUAUUGUCCUGUUCCAGGCUGUGUGUACAAGGGCCAGGAGUGCAGGCUGGUGAUCCACUACGAGCAGGGCUUCUCUGUCCUGGCUGAGCAGAAGGGGGAGGACCAGGUGGACCAGGGGAACCAGAACCAAGCCAAACCUCUCCUCUGCUACCCCUUCGAACGCCUCAAGAUGUCCUCCGACGACGGGGUCAGGUUGCUCUUCCUGGAUUUCAGUGGAAAAGAGGGUGAAAUUCAGCUGGACCUCCACUCGUGCCCGAAGCCUAUCGUCUUCAUCCUCCACUCAUUCCUCUCGGCAAAGAUCGCCAGACUCGGCCUGGUAGCAUAAAGGUUCUGUUUACCACCAACGGACCACAAGGACUGAACUGUUCCAGAUUUCUAGAGUGGAGUGUCCCGGAGUUCCACAGUGGAGUGUACAGAACAGAGGAAGACAUGGCUGAUAACUGAGCUACAAGAACAAGGACUGUGAUGUGCAGUGAACUAGACACAGGAUCUACCCUGAUUCAAAAUCCACACAAACAGCUAAAAAUGAAUGGAUCAUGUUUCAAAAAACUUGAAUGAGUUGUUUUGUGUAUUUAUAGAAACACAUGCAUUACCGAUGACAUCAUAGUGAGAGAUUAGUUACAACAGAAGUUGUUUUGUGUAUUUAUAGAAACACAGAACACAGGCAUUACCGAUGACAUCAUAGUGAGAGAUCAGUUACAACAGAAGAAAUUGUUUUGUUCAAAUCGUCGUUAAGCUGUACAAGAACAAUAAUCUAUUGUUUUGGUACUAAAAACAUACUGGAAAUAUUAUCUAUCUAGCAUCCAUCCAUCCUACUCUAAUUGUUUAUUCGGCAAUCUCUGUCUGCAAAUAAUUCAGCGAUUACUGUUAACUUAAAUGAAAAAGUUACGGUGAAAAAGAUUGUAAAGGCUGCUUGAAAAUGUAAAUUGUCCUACGCCUUUGGCAGCUAUUAUAAUUCAAGGUGUAGUUUUAUUUGAACUCUGUUAAUGAUGCACAUAAAUGACAUAUUUCUGGA